RNAcentral lists this unclassified non-coding RNA (328 nucleotides) under soil metagenome. RNAcentral's name for it is "partial contains 5.8S ribosomal RNA, internal transcribed spacer 2, and large subunit ribosomal RNA". The stretch from base 1 to 120 matches the Rfam family "5.8S ribosomal RNA", at positions 35 to 154 of the family's 154-position model. The record is from RNAcentral.
GAUGAAGAACGCAGUGAAAUGCGAUACGUAAUGUGAAUUGCAGAAUUCAGUGAAUCAUCGAAUCUUUGAACGCACAUUGCGCCCCUUGGUAUUCCGAGGGGCAUGCCUGUUCGAGCGUCAUUAUAACCCCUCAAGCUCAGCUUGGUGUUGGGGCCUGCUGCACUGGCAGCCCUUAAAAUCAGUGGCGGCGCCAUCUGGCUCUAAGCGUAGUAAUUCUUCUCGCUAUGGAGUCCUGGUGGAUGCUUGCCAUCAACCCCCAAUUUUUCUAUGGUUGACCUCGGAUCAGGUAGGGAUACCCGCUGAACUUAAGCAUAUCAAUAAGCGGAGA